Thalassophryne amazonica is the source of this 140-nucleotide long non-coding RNA. RefSeq lists it as uncharacterized. NCBI's taxonomy places the organism in Eukaryota, Metazoa, Chordata, Actinopteri, Batrachoidiformes, Batrachoididae. The transcript is spliced from 3 exons. The record is from RefSeq and is a predicted model, not a curated record.
UAACCUCAGACACACUUUGCUUUCAUGGCAUCAUUUCACACACCACCUUUCUUAGCACACUGCAGCACACUUAAAUAGCUCCUGAAAUUAGCAGCUCUGUGUACUGAAUUCAGAGAUUGUGUGAGGCAACAAAACCACCU